UGGGGAAUUUUGGACAAUGGGCGAAAGCCUGAUCCAGCCAUGCCGCGUGAGUGAAGAAGGCCUUCGGGUUGUAAAGCUCUUUUAGUCGGAAAGAAAGAGUCGCAAUGAAUAAUUGUGAUUUAUGACGGUACCGACAGAAAAAGCACCGGCUAACUACGUGCCAGCAGCCGCGGUAAUACGUAGGGUGCGAGCGUUAAUCGGAAUUACUGGGCGUAAAGGGUGCGCAGGCGGUUUUGCAAGUCAGAUGUGAAAGCCCCGGGCUUAACCUGGGAAUUGCGUUUGAAACUACAAGGCUAGAGUGCAGCAGAGGGGAGUGGAAUUCCAUGUGUAGCAGUGAAAUGCGUAGAGAUGUGGAAGAACACCGAUGGCGAAGGCAGCUCCCGUGGGUUNACGACUGACGCU
Molecule: ribosomal RNA, 402 nt
Filed under: uncultured bacterium
Lineage: Bacteria
Description: bacterial SSU rRNA
Rfam family: Bacterial small subunit ribosomal RNA
Source: RNAcentral